AGUGAACGCUGGCGGUAGGCCUAACACAUGCAAGUCGAACGGCAGCACAGUAAGAUCUUGCUCUUACGGGUGGCGAGUGGCGGACGGGUGAGGAAUACAUCGGAAUCUACUUUUUCGUGGGGGAUAACGUAGGGAAACUUACGCUAAUACCGCAUACGACCUACGGGUGAAAGCAGGGGAUCUUCGGACCUUGCGCGAUUGAAUUAGCCGAUGUCGGAUUAGCUAGUUGGCGGGGUAAAGGCCCACCAAGGCGACGAUCCGUAGCUGGUCUGAGAGGAUGAUCAGCCACACUGGAACUGAGACACGGUCAAGACUCCUACGGGAGGCAGCAGUGGGGAAUAUUGGACAAUGGGCGCAAGCCUGAUACAGCCAUACCGCGUGGGUGAAGAAGGCCUUCGGGUUGUAAAGCCCUUUUGUUGGGAAAGAAAAGCAGCAGGUUAAUACCCCGCUGUUCUGACGGUACCCAAAGAAUAAGCACCGGCUAACUUCGUG
This 492-nucleotide ribosomal RNA is filed under the name uncultured bacterium. RNAcentral describes it as "partial 16S ribosomal RNA". It matches the Rfam family "Bacterial small subunit ribosomal RNA", at positions 29 to 507 of the family's 1533-position model. The record is from RNAcentral.